AAGAGAGUUUGCUGAGUGGUUUAAGGCGGCUAGCUUGAGUCUAGCUAAAGGUAUAAACUUUCAUAUGUUCGAAUCAUAUACUCUCUG
Molecule: transfer RNA, 87 nt
Filed under: Penicillium urticae
Lineage: Eukaryota; Fungi; Ascomycota; Eurotiomycetes; Eurotiales; Aspergillaceae
Description: tRNA-Ser-1
Rfam family: tRNA
About the family: Transfer RNA (tRNA) molecules are approximately 80 nucleotides in length. Their secondary structure includes four short double-helical elements and three loops (D, anti-codon, and T loops).
Source: RNAcentral